RNAcentral lists this ribosomal RNA (460 nucleotides) under uncultured bacterium. Its description in RNAcentral is "partial 16S ribosomal RNA". It matches the Rfam family "Bacterial small subunit ribosomal RNA", at positions 338 to 795 of the family's 1533-position model. The record is from RNAcentral.
CCUACGGGCGGCAGCAGUGAGGAAUAUUGGUCAAUGGACGCAAGUCUGAACCAGCCAUGCCGCGUGCAGGAAGACGGCUCUAUGAGUUGUAAACUGCUUUUGUACGAGGGUAAACGCAGAUACGCGUAUCUGUCUGAAAGUAUCGUACGAAUAAGGAUCGGCUAACUCCGUGCCAGCCGCCGCGGUAAUACGGAGGAUUCAAGCGUUAUCCGGAUUUAUUGGGUUUAAAGGGUGCGUAGGCGGUCGGAUAAGUUAGAGGUGAAAUCCCGAGGCUCAACUUCGGAAUUGCCUCGGAUACUGUUCGGCUAGAGAGUAGUUGCGGUAGGCGGAAUGUAUGGUGUAGCGGUGAAAUGCUUAGAGAUCAUACAGAACACCGAUUGCGAAGGCAGCUUACCAAGCUACUUCUGACGUUGAGGCACGAAAGCGUGGGGAGUAAACAGGAUUAGAUACCCGGGUAGUC